This 2472-nucleotide ribosomal RNA is filed under the name groundwater metagenome. RNAcentral describes it as "bacterial LSU rRNA". It matches the Rfam family "Bacterial large subunit ribosomal RNA", at positions 3 to 2401 of the family's 2925-position model. The record is from RNAcentral.
UUAAGCUACUAAGGGCGCACAGUGGAUGCCUUGGCACCAGGAGCCGAAGAAGGGCGCGGUAAGACUGCGAAAAGCCCCGGGGAGCUGUCGAACAAGCAUUGAUCCGGGGGUAUCCGAAUGGGGCAACCCACUCCCGAGCAAUCGGGGGGACCCCUGGCCGAACACAUUAGGCCAGGGGAGGGCACCGGGGGAACUGAAACAUCUAAGUACCCCGAGGAAAAGAGAUUAUUCCCUGAGUAGUGGCGAACGAAAGGGGAGCAGCCUAAACUCUCAGCACUGAGUGGCCUUGGGGCCUAUGUACUGGGGGGGUUGUAAGGCGGGCGGCCUCGGCCCAAGCCGGGGCAGGGAGUUACAAACCUAACCUCUAGCCGAAGGUCCCUGGAACGGGCCACCGCAGGCGGUGAUAGUCCGGUAGGCGAAAGGGGUGAGGCUCCCGCCCAGUCCUUGAGUACCACGGGACACGAGGAAUCCCGUGGGAAGCUGGGGAGACCACUCUCCAAGGCUAAAUACUCCUGGUGACCGAUAGUGAACUAGUACCGUGAGGGAAAGGUGAAAAGCACCCCGGAAGGGGAGUUAAAAGACCUGAAACUGUGUGCCUACAAGCGGUCGGAGUCCCGACGCAAGUCGGGAUGACGGCGUGCCUAUUGAAGAAUGAGCCGGCGAGUUAAUUCUAGGUGGCCGCAGGUUAAGCCAGUGGACUGGCGGAGCCGUAGCGAAAGCGAGUCCGAAUAGGGCAUCGUCCGCAAGGACAGGUCGCCUGGAUUAGACCCGAAGCGGGGUGAGCUAUCCAUGGCCAGGGUGAAGCCUCUUUAAAACGAGGUGGAGGCCCGAACGGGUGGUCUGUGCAAAGACCUCCGAUGAGUUGUGGAUAGAGGUGAAAUGCCAACCGAACUCCGAAAUAGCUGGUUCUCCCCGAAAUGCAUUUAGGUGGAGCCUCCGGGUAGGAGCUGUGGAGGUAGGGCUCUGGAUGGGCUAGGGGGUGAGUAACCUACCAAACUCAACCAAACCACGAAUGCCACAGCUUAACCCCGGGGAGUGAGGCGGCGGGGGAUAACCUUCAUCGCCAAACAGGGAAACAACCCAAACCAUCAGCUAAGGUCCCCAAGAGCAGGCUAAGUGGGCAAGGAUGUGGGCCUGCAGAGACAGCCAGGAUGUUGGCUCAGAAGCAGCCAUCAUUUAAAGAGUGCGUAACAGCUCACUGGUCGAGUGGACCCGCGCCAACAACUCAAGGGGCUAAGUCUGCCACCGAAGCUAUGGCUCUUCCCGAUUUAUCGGGGAGGGGGUAGGGGAGCGUUCCGUCUCCGUUGAAGCUAGGGUGUAAACCACUGGUGGAGGUGACGGAAGUGCGAAUGCCGGCACGAGUAGCGUUAACCCUGGUGAGAAACCGGGGCACCGAAAACCUAAGGUUUCCUACGCAAGGUUAAUCCGCGUAGGGUUAGUCGGCCCUAAGCCGAGGCCGAAAGGCGUAGGCGAUGGAUAGCAGGUCAACAUUCCUGCACCACCUUUUCCUGGACAAAGACGUCGAGGGGUGACCCAGAAAGGUAGACCGGGCGUGCCCAUUGGACAUGGUGCGUCCUCUCCUCUAGGCGGGGGCUGGUAGGUAAAUCCGCUGGCCCGUUAAGCUGAGGGGAGGGGGAAGUCAAGGGGCAACCCGAGGCGAUCCGGUUGAGCCUAGGCUGGCAAGAAAAACCUCGCGACGACAGGUAAGGGUGCCCGUACCGCAAACCGCCACCGGUAGGUGGGGACAAGGAUCCCCAGGUGUUCGAGACAACCCUCCUUAAGGAACUAGGCAAGUUGACUCCGUAACUUCGGGAAAAGGAGUGCCCUCGAGGUGAACCCUUUACUGGGGGAGCCCCGAGGGUCGCAGAGAGCAGGCCUGGGCAACUGUUUAUCAAAAACACAGGUCUCUGCCAAAGCGAAAGCUGAGGUAUAGGGGCUGAUGCCUGCCCAGUGUCGGAAGGUUAAGGGGAGGGGUGCUGAGCCCUGAACUGAAGCCCCGAUGAACGGCGGCCGUAACUCUAACGGUCCUAAGGUAGCGAAGUCCCUUGUCGGGUAAGUUCCGACCCGCACGAAUGGCAUCAUGACUUGGGCGCUGUCUCAAGGAGGGGCUCGGUGAAACUGAAGUACCCGUGAAGAUGCAGGUUACCCGCGGCAGGACAAAAAGACCCUGUGAAGCUUUACUGCAACUUGGUAUGGGUUCGAAGCUCAACCUGUGUAGGAUAGGUGGGAGGCUGUGAAACCUCGGCGCUAGCCGGGGUGGAGCCAACGUUGAAAUACCACUCUGGUUGGGUUUUGGACCUAACCUCAGAACAAGCUGGGGGACAAUGCCUGGUGGGCAGUUUGACUGGGGCGGUCGCCUCCCAAAAGGUAACGGAGGCGCCCAAAGGUCCCCUCAAGGCGUAUGGAAAUCGCCUGUGGAGUGCAUGGGCAUAAGGGGGCUUGACUGCGAGACCUACAAGUCGAGCAGGGACG